Peromyscus maniculatus bairdii (prairie deer mouse) is the source of this 104-nucleotide small nuclear RNA. The record is from Ensembl. Lineage: Eukaryota; Metazoa; Chordata; Mammalia; Rodentia; Cricetidae.
GUGCUUGCUUUGGCAGCACACAUACUAAAAUUGAAAUGAUACAGAGAAGAUUAGCAUGGCCUCUGUGCAGAAUGACACCCAGAUGCAUAGUGUUCCAUAUUUUC